AGAACCUUACCAGGUCUUGACAUCUUUUGAUCACCUGAGAGAUCAGGUUUCCCCUUCGGGGGCAAAAUGACAGGUGGUGCAUGGUUGUCGUCAGCUCGUGUCGUGAGAUGUUGGGUUAAGUCCCGCAACGAGCGCAACCCUUAUGACUAGUUGCCAGCAUUUAGUUGGGCACUCUAGUAAGACUGCCGGUGACAAACCGGAGGAAGGUGGGGAUGAUGUCAAAUCAUCAUGCCCCUUAUGACCUGGGCUACACACGUGCUACAAUGGAUGGUACAACGAGUUGCGAGACCGCGAGGUCAAGCUAAUCUCUUAAAGCCAUUCUCAGUUCGGACUGUAGGCUGCAACUCGCCUACACGAAGUCGGAAUCGCUAGUAAUCGCGGAUCAGCACGCCGCGGUGAAUACGUUCCCGGGUCUUGUACACACCGCCU
RNAcentral lists this ribosomal RNA (429 nucleotides) under uncultured bacterium. RNAcentral's name for it is "bacterial SSU rRNA". It matches the Rfam family "Bacterial small subunit ribosomal RNA", at positions 965 to 1395 of the family's 1533-position model. The record is from RNAcentral.